Molecule: ribosomal RNA, 401 nt
Filed under: uncultured bacterium
Lineage: Bacteria
Description: bacterial SSU rRNA
Rfam family: Bacterial small subunit ribosomal RNA
Source: RNAcentral
GGGCGCAAGCCUGAUGCAGCGACGCCGCGUGUGGGAUGAAGGGGCUACGCCUCGUAAACCACUGUAGCCCGGGACGAAAAACGCCUUAUAGGCGUUAGACGGUACCGGGAAAGUAAGGGUCGGCUAACUACGUGCCAGCAGCCGCGGUAAUACGUAGGACCCAAGCGUUUUCCGGAUUUACUGGGUGUAUAAGGUGCGCAGGCGGAUGGGUAAGUCAGGGGUGAAAGUCUGCAGCUUAACUGUAGAAUUGCCUUUGAUACUGCUCAUCUUGAGUGGGGGAGAGGUCGAUGGAAGUCCAGGUGUCGCAGUGAAAUGCGUAGAUAUCUGGAAGAACGCCAGUGGCGAAGGCGGUCAACUGGCCCAUAACUGACGCUCAUGCACGAAAGCGUGGGGAGCAAACA